CGCUGGCGGCAUGCCUCAUACAUGCAAGUCGAACGAAAUCUUCGGAUUUAGUGGCGCACGGGUGAGUAACAUGUGGGAAUCUACCUGAAGGUUCGGAAUAACUGCGGGAAACUGUAGCUAAUACCGGAUGUGUCUGCAAAGAGAAAGAUUUAUCGCCUUCAGAUGAGCCCGCACUAGAUUAGCUAGUUGGUGAGGUAAUUGCUCCACCAAGGCUACGAUCUAUAGCUGAUUUGAGAGGAUGAUCAGCCACACUGGGACUGAGACACGGCCCAGACUCCUACGGGAGGCAGCAGUAGGGAAUAUUGGACAAUGGGGGAAACCCUGAUCCAGCAAUGCCGCGUGAGUGAAGAAGGCCUUCGGGUUGUAAAACUCUUUCAUCAACGAUGAUAAUGACAUUAAUUGAAGAAGAAGCUCCGGCUAACUUCGUGCCAGCAGCCGCGGUAAUACGAAGGGGGCUAGCGUUGUUCGGAAUCACUGGGCGUAAAGCGUAUGUAGGCGGAUCAAAAAGUUAGAUGUGAAAUCCCUGGGCUCAACCCAGGAACUGCAUUUAAAACUAGUGAUCUAGAAAUUGGUAAAGGUUAGUAGAAUUUCCAGUGUAGAGGUGAAAUUCGUAGAUAUUGGAAAGAAUACCAGAAGCGAAGGCGACUAACUAGGCCAUUUUUGACGCUGAGAUACGAAAGCGUGGGUAGCAAACAGGAUUAGAUACCCUGGUAGUCCACGCAGUAAACGAUGAGUGCUAGUCGCUGGUGCAAUAGUAUCAGUGUCGAAGCUAACGCAUUAAGCACUCCGCCU
Molecule: ribosomal RNA, 792 nt
Filed under: uncultured Alphaproteobacteria bacterium
Lineage: Bacteria; Pseudomonadati; Pseudomonadota; Alphaproteobacteria
Description: bacterial SSU rRNA
Rfam family: Bacterial small subunit ribosomal RNA
Source: RNAcentral